UUUUUUUUUUUUUUUUUUAACAUGUAUCAGUUAUUUCCCUCUGGGAUAGACUUUGCACCUGUCUUCUGGAACAUGUAAACUAACGUUAGAUAUGUGUGGAAACAGUAAGGGUGAAGAACUAGAGGUGAUGGCUCAGGCAGGGAUGAUGCUGGAAGCACCAAAAGAAGCUGGGUCUGGAGCCAAGUUUCUGCUGUUAUUGGAGGGAAAAUGAAGGAAACUGGAAAACCAAAAGAAAUUGCUCCUUUCCCCUCUUUGUUUCUCUAAUCUUCCUCUAGUCAUUGGCACAGCUUUACAGGAAGCCAACCGACAAGGGAGUCUGGGAAGUCACAUUUGCAGAGUCUCAGCCCCAGUAUCACAGAGCAAAGUGUGAAAGAACAGUCUGGAAGGUGAGAUGCAGUGGGUGAAUAGCUGAUCCUGGUAUGGUCCCAGCAUUGUUUCAUUUAUUAAUUUAUUUUGCACAUAGCAUCCAUUCACCUUCUCUGGGAAAAAGAAAUACUAUUGAAAAUUUUUGGAGAUCACCCUUUUCUCAUUCUCAGCCCUUGAAAAUUAGGUAAAAUGUCACACCCACAGCUCCAGAGGUGAGUCUUAGUUGGGUUUAAACCAACCAGAGCAUCACAUCAUACUGGUCACAAUGAGGAAGAGCAAAGAGGGAAUAUAAUACACACCAACCAGAGUGAAUGGGAUGAAUAAAGACUUUCUUAAGAAUUCUGAGAUAAGGGCAUAAGAAGCUUAAGGUUGAUCUUGAAAUUCUGUAGACUGGAGCUACUAGCAUGAUCUUUCUGGAACUUGAGUCUAAGCAUAAAGUCAGUAUGUGAAAGAAAGCAGAGCUGAGACAGACACAAUCCAGGUCCCGGGGACAUUGUAUGAGUUCCAAUCUAUCUUUGCCCCAAAACAGCAUUAUCCUAGAACAGUUCCAUGUACAUACUACCCUCCCUUUUUGUGGGCCAGUGUGCAGCAUUGCUUUUGAUAUCUACACAACCCAUUGCUCCAGAGAACUAGCACUGAACAGUCAGAUCUGCCACAAGAUGUAUGCCCAUUUCUAUAAGACCAUCCACCGUUUCUCCUACCAUUACAUGUACAGUCAGUUCUCCACAGAAGGGUCAAAUCUAGGAGCUAGACCUUAUGAAUAUGGUGCUGAUAACCAAAUACAUUUACAGUAAAUCUAUUAUGGACUUAAAUCUGCCAGCUUCAAAAGCAUAUUUGAGGUGGCUAUAAAACAAACACAUGCAGUGUAGAAUGAGGCAAAAUGAAAACAAAUAGAAACCUGCAAAUAGAAUGAACCCAGACUGGAUGCUGGAGGAGCCUAUAGUUGUACCUUGAGUUAGCUCUGAGCUUCCAGACAGUAAGGUGGAAAAGAAACAAGCAUUUACAUAACCCUAACACUCUGAUGAGAUGAAGCCCACAGAUUUGUUUGCAGAAGGAAGAAGCCAUCAAUAUUCAUUCAGCACCUACUAUGUGGCAAGCACAUUCCAUGUAUUUCAUUCACUCCUCUGAGUAAGUCGGUGGAGUGUGUGCUAGUCUCCAAGACUUAGGAAUUAAGAAAGCGGAGGCUCAUAGAAAUUAAGUACCUAGCACAUAGCAUCAGCUACGGCAAAUGGUGAAGUCAUGCCUGGAUUCAUCCACCACCUCCUAGAAUCAAAGCUAUGUGUGAUCCAUGAGAAGUUAGCAGAUGCUCAUUUAGUACCCAAGAGAAUGCAAGAAUCCUCACAUAUGUGGUCACAGUUGACCUUUCCAACAGCCCAGAAAGGUCAUCCCAUGAUCCCCACAUAACAUAUGGGAAAGCCAUGUUGAAUGUGUUUCUUGAUGCUGAGAAAAGGAAGUUCUCAAAGGGAAACCCCUCAAAUCAGGGAUAUUGGUUAUUUGAUGGACAACAUCUCACUUCAGUUUGACAAAAACACAGGGCAGCUUUCCAGAAGGAGAGUGGGAGAACAAAAACAGCCCAGAUCAACCUUUUGGUUUUUGAUGACUUUACUAAAUAAGAGUAUGAAGCUUGGAGGAUCUGGGGAAAUGGGGAAUCGGCCUGCUGUUCUGACUCUCUUUCAAAUUGUCCGUGUCUUGAGCAGGCCUGUGGGAAGGGCUCGGUUUCUGUAUAUCUCUGCUGGGUUCUCUAGACGGCAACUAGAAUGAUCUUUCUAAAAUGCAAAUCAGAGCAUGACAUUAUCCUGCUUAAAAACCUUUAUUAAAGCUGCACAUGGCCUGGAUAAAGUCCAAGACUCUUAAUGUGUUCCUUUAUGACUAAGCCCUCACACUCUGGACUCAUGUGUCACCCCUUUCUUCCCCAAACUGUGCUCUAGUCACACGGAGCUACUUUUAGGCCCUGCUGCAACCUUCCCUCACCUUCUGGCAUUUCUCUGUGCUGCUUCUUCCUCCAAGAAUGCCCUCUCUCUCGCUGCUCCCUCCCUGGGCCCUUCUCAAGCCAUCUUUGCCUGGCUUGCGGCCACUCACAUUUCAGGAGCCAGAUAUGGCCUUGCCUUCCCAGGGACGCCUCCUCUGAAUCCCACAUUUGGACUGAGAUGGCCACAGAACCUGCUCUCAUUCCUGUCCUGGCACUCCCGCACCAAAACACCAUCACCUGAUUUUACACUGGACUCACUGGUUUCUCUGCUGAAGUUCUGGGGCAGUCACUGUGUGUAAGGUGCUUGCAGGCGAUGAGGUGAAUAAACGAAGUGUCUCGAGCAUGAAGUAUUUGGAUGUACAGGUAAAAGAGAUGAUGCCUGUUGUGGACACUUGAAUUCUGAGUUAAAUUCUGCCCUAAGCACAGGGAUGAAGCUGUGGACAAAAAAUUAAUGAUGUUCUAGAGUAGGUUCAAAAAGAGCUGCAGUCGAGGCGCUGGAAGACAAUAUCACCAUGGGCUAGUUGGACCAGUGGCUCUGAGCCAAGGCCUAUGUGACAGAGCAUUGGAUGUUUCUGCUCCAGGGACCAGGCCUGGGCAAGUCCAGAGGUGGGAGGGAAGUAACCGCAGCUGCUGGAACCUACAGAUCAGGGGAGCAGGGGCCCAAACCUAUCUAUGCUGAGCUUUAUUUCUGACUUUAUUUUGUUUGUUGUAACAGGGGCAUUGCUGAUGUGGGGCUCUCUCCCCAGCACCCUGAAAGCCUUGGCGAGCACACCUGUCACAGACACUGGACAGAGCC
RNAcentral lists this long non-coding RNA (3131 nucleotides) under Canis lupus familiaris (dog). RNAcentral's name for it is "lncRNA (ENSCAFG00000050186.1)". The record is from RNAcentral. Lineage: Eukaryota; Metazoa; Chordata; Mammalia; Carnivora; Canidae.